CGGAGGAAAAGAAACCAACUGGGAUUACCUUAGUAACGGCGAGUGAAGCGGUAAAAGCUCAAAUUUGAAAUCUGGUACUUUCAGUGCCCGAGUUGUAAUUUGUAGAAUUUGUCUUUGAUUAGGUCCUUGUCUAUGUUCCUUGGAACAGGACGUCAUAGAGGGUGAGAAUCCCGUUUGGCGAGGAUACCUUUUCUCUGUAAGACUUUUUCGAAGAGUCGAGUUGUUUGGGAAUGCAGCUCAAAGUGGGUGGUAAAUUCCAUCUAAAGCUAAAUAUUGGCGAGAGACCGAUAGCGAACAAGUACAGUGAUGGAAAGAUGAAAAGAACUUUGAAAAGAGAGUGAAAAAGUACGUGAAAUUGUUGAAAGGGAAGGGCAUUUGAUCAGACAUGGUGUUUUUUGCAUGCACUCGCCUCUCGUGGGCUUGGGCCUCUCAAAAAUUUCACUGGGCCAACAUCAAUUCUGGCAGCAGGAUAAAUCAUUAAGAAUGUAGCUACUUCGGUAGUGUUAUAGCUUUUUGGAAUACUGUUAGCCGGGAUUGAGGACUGCGCUUCGGCAAGGAUGUUGGCAUAAUGGUUAAAUGCCGCCCGUCUUG
RNAcentral lists this ribosomal RNA (591 nucleotides) under Hanseniaspora uvarum. RNAcentral describes it as "eukaryotic LSU rRNA". It matches the Rfam family "Eukaryotic large subunit ribosomal RNA", at positions 51 to 656 of the family's 3401-position model. Lineage: Eukaryota; Fungi; Ascomycota; Saccharomycetes; Saccharomycodales; Saccharomycodaceae. The record is from RNAcentral.